Molecule: long non-coding RNA, 512 nt
Organism: Acyrthosiphon pisum (pea aphid)
Lineage: Eukaryota; Metazoa; Arthropoda; Insecta; Hemiptera; Aphididae
Exons: 3
Source: RefSeq, a predicted model, not a curated record
UAUCUAUUGCUCGCCUUAAUACAUAGGUAAUAUUAUUAUUAUCGUCGUCGUCGUCGUUUCAUUCGCCUACGCGACAACGCCGUUAACGCACGCACACGUCGUCUACGUCGUCUCCGUCAGUUCUACAAUUAUUUCCGUUCUCGAUGUAAUGAUUAGUACAAUAUACUUAUGCCGUCUCUCGUCAUAAUAAUAUUAUCACGCGUAGCACAGUAUGCCGGUACAACGUCGUCGUGUAUAAUAUAAGAGUUUCGCCGAAAACUUUUUAUAAUAUAACGUCAUCGCCGUCUUAUAGAAGAGGAAUUAUAUCUAUUAAAUGACAUACAAAGGAAAAUUUAAAGAACGUACAUUCACAAUGGCACUAAAUCAAUAUGCGAUUAUAAAAAUUAUCUAGGUACCUACUCCUCAAGUGUUCAUUCGUAAAUGGGAUUUAAGUGAAGCAAAACAACAAAAUAUUUAUGAGCAUAAUAUACAUUAAAAAUUCUCAUGAUUAUAAAUACAUAAUACAAAUACAC